GGGCCCGUGGGGUAGCUUGGAUAUCCUAGGGGACUUCGGAUCCCCGGACCUGGGUUCGAAUCCCAGCGGGCUCG
Molecule: transfer RNA, 74 nt
Filed under: Candidatus Altarchaeales archaeon IMC4
Lineage: Archaea; Nanobdellati; Candidatus Altarchaeota; Candidatus Altarchaeia; Candidatus Altarchaeales
Description: Candidatus Altiarchaeales archaeon IMC4 tRNA-Arg
Rfam family: tRNA
About the family: Transfer RNA (tRNA) molecules are approximately 80 nucleotides in length. Their secondary structure includes four short double-helical elements and three loops (D, anti-codon, and T loops).
Source: RNAcentral